This is a long non-coding RNA of Solanum tuberosum (potato), 1434 nucleotides long. RefSeq lists it as uncharacterized. The record is from RefSeq and is a predicted model, not a curated record. Lineage: Eukaryota; Viridiplantae; Streptophyta; Magnoliopsida; Solanales; Solanaceae. The transcript has 2 exons.
AAACACAAUAUAAAUAAUAAGGGAGGGAAAAGAAAUAAUCAAAUUUGGGCCUUUGGCCCAAAUUUCCCACAUCUUGGACUUUGCUGAAAUUGUCUAAGGCCUUUGGGCCUGUUUUGCUUUUGGAAAAAAUCUGCGUAUACCCUUUACGUAUAUCACUGUAUAUGGACCGUGUUUGGGGUCCAUAUUUCUGCGUUUUUCCUUGAACAAUAGCUAUCGACUUAUGUCUUAUCAUCAAACUUGUAUCCUCAUAUUUUGCAACCUGUAAACUAUAUUUCCGGCUGUAUACGAGUGUAUACAGCAGGUAUAUCAGCCCCUUUGAGGCGUUUUGAGACCUGCAAAAUUUAAUUUCCAGCCUUCAUUCAUCGGCUUCCGCCUGUAUGCCAGUUUCGCAGCCAUUCGGAUGAUGGAUGAGCUUGACUCGAUAAAGAAGUUUUUGGGUUUCCACCAACCCGAAAUGCGAAGGGAAUGCAAACAAGAAGUCCCAGCGGACCCUCGACGAUUAACAUACAUACAAAUAGAUGGAAGAAAGAGAAUUAGAAUAGGAACACAAAUUCUAACAAGCACGUUGUCAAGUAAUUAAUUCAUAAUGGAGAUAAACAAGUAGUACACUUGAAGAAUUAAGGGUAUAGUCACGAACUAAGGCGGGAUGAGGGGAAGGGAGCUUUCUUAAUUUUGAAAACUUACAACAACUAAAUAAGAGUAAAACAAGGCACAACAAAAGCAGUCCACAUUAUGAACAGAUCAAACAUAGCAUUAUUGAAAUCAAACAUGUUAAAUGAUAGCAUAAACUAGCAUGAAUAAUGUCCGUAAGAAAUAGCAUGAUUGGGCAGCAAUACCAAACACAUGAUUAAACCGAAGAAAAUACCAUACUAGAGACGCUUACGGACACAUACAUAUAUUUCACAAUAAAAUCUAUAAGGGCAGCCCACAUUAUGGUAAACAAAUAAUCAGUGGUUAACGUAACCUUAUAUAAAGAGAAAGUCAUGCUAGUAAAAGAGAAAUGAAAUAAAAUUAUAUAUCUAUCAAUGAUUAAAGCGACUAGUCGUAUAAGUCUUAUGGACUAAGAACAUGAAACAAGCUGAUUUUUAUUUUAUUUUUUCUCUACUAAAAAAAUAAAAUAAAAAUGGAAAUCACCUAACGACAUACGGAUGGGACCAAAUGAACUUUAAACAAGUUCGAACGAGACGAAAUAAAGAUAUUACUAGUUUCACAGAAACAAAAUUGAGCCAAAGGAUUCAACAAUCAAUAUAAUAUAAUGUCAAAUGAACUCAUGCUUAAGAAUAUAUUAGGCAUAAGAAUCAAAACAAAGCGAACACGUGAUUCCCAACGAACACAAAAAGUUAAGACUAGACAAACAUAUCUCGAUUUGAGUUUUUAGAUGAGGUGAGACGUUAAUGAUUUGGUGAUUAGUCGGAAAUCAAGCCAGCAAAAAAA